GAUGAACGCUGGCGGCGUGCCUAAUACAUGCAAGUCGAGCGAACAGACGAGGAGCUUGCUCCUCUGACGUUAGCGGCGGACGGGUGAGUAACACGUGGAUAACCUACCUAUAAGACUGGGAUAACUUCGGGAAACCGGAGCUAAUACCGGAUAACAUGUUGAACCGCAUGGUUCAACAGUGAAAGACGGUCUUGCUGUCACUUAUAGAUGGAUCCGCGCUGCAUUAGCUAGUUGGUAAGGUAACGGCUUACCAAGGCAACGAUGCGUAGCCGACCUGAGAGGGUGAUCGGCCACACUGGAACUGAGACACGGUCCAGACUCCUACGGGAGGCAGCAGUAGGGAAUCUUCCGCAAUGGGCGAAAGCCUGACGGAGCAACGCCGCGUGAGUGAAGAAGGUCUUCGGAUCGUAAAACUCUGUUAUUAGGGAAGAACAAAUGUGUAAGUAACUAUGCACGUCUUGACGGUACCUAAUCAGAAAGCCACGGCUAACUACGUG
RNAcentral lists this ribosomal RNA (497 nucleotides) under uncultured bacterium. Its description in RNAcentral is "partial 16S ribosomal RNA". It matches the Rfam family "Bacterial small subunit ribosomal RNA", at positions 28 to 507 of the family's 1533-position model. The record is from RNAcentral.